Molecule: ribosomal RNA, 483 nt
Filed under: uncultured bacterium
Lineage: Bacteria
Description: SSU rRNA
Rfam family: Bacterial small subunit ribosomal RNA
Source: RNAcentral
AGGACGAACGCUGGCGGCGUGCCUAACACAUGCAAGUCGAACGAGGUCCAACCGGUGGCAACACUGGUGAAGACCGAGUGGCGAACGGGUGAGUAACACGUGAGCAACCUGCCUCGAAGACUGGGAUAACCCCGGGAAACCGGAGCUAAUACCGGAUACCCCCACCGGGUCGCAUGGCCUGGUGAGGAAAUGGAUUCCGCUUUGAGAGGGGCUCGCGGCCUAUCAGCUUGAUGGUGGGGUAAUGGCCUACCAUGGCACCGACGGGUAGCUGGUCUGAGAGGACGAUCAGCCACACUGGGACUGAGACACGGCCCAGACUCCUACGGGAGGCAGCAGUGGGGAAUCUUGCGCAAUGGGCGAAAGCCUGACGCAGCAACGCCGCGUGUGGGACGAAGGCCUUCUGGGUUGUAAACCACUUUCAGCAGGGACGAUUGUGACGGUACCUGCAGAAGAAGCCCCGGCCAACUACGUGCCAGCAGCCGC